UUUCUUCUUGUUUUUUUUUUUGAGUGGAUACGGGAUGGACCUAGUCAACAUAAUAGGGCUGCCUCGAAGUUUCGCUUGAUUGGACCUCCUAAUCCAACAUAAACAGUUCAUCGUCGUGCUAGCGCCGAAGGAAGUUAAGAUCCAUUUUGAUUGAACGGAUGGACCAAAUAAAUUUUGGCCCAUCGAAUGCAAACAGGCUGGAAACAAAGCGUGAUUUGAAUCCAAUAAAUUUUGGCCCAUUGAAUGCAAUAAGUUUCUCUAUUGCAAGUGGGCUGCAUUUGAAUCAAUAGGCCACUCGAUCUAGCCAAAGCCCAGAGACUGGAAACAAACCUGGGCCUUCAGCCUUACGGCCUCAAUUUAUUAGAUAAUUUCUUAUUUGACAUUAGAAAAAUAACUCGUUUCUUCUUUAAACUUUAAAAUUUUUCCUUCUUUGACACCGACUUCAACUUGACACUACCGUCGAUACGGAGUACUAACAGCGUUAAGUGUAAAAUGAAAGACGUUUUUGCUCCUUAUGCAGUUGAGAUAUUCAUGCACUUGUGUAUCCAAAUUUCAAAGGAUGCACUUCAGGACCGUAGCAAGACACUGGUUGAGUUAUCCCCCAGCAAUGGUUUCUCGUCGAAGAGCUCGGGAUUUUUUGCCUCUUGCUUGUCGAAGAUCACAGGGCCUUCCUCGGACACAAAGAACCGUGUCUCCGUUUGGCCUCGCUGUCUCUUCCUCUUGCUUGUGGCCACAAUCUGAGCCGCGCAGCGCCGGCGUGGGGAGCAAGAAGGGCGGAGAGUAGAACUCGUCUCGAGCGCGACGCCGCAGCAGGCGCAAGCGAGGUCCCGCUCGCCGAGCUCGCUCCGGCUCAUCCACGACAGCAGCGCCUUCCCGGGCGCCGCCGCCGCGGCGCAGUCCUCGCACAUGUCCCCGGCGUCCGCGAGCCGGCGGUGCGCGCUGCAGUAGCCGAGGCGUGACAGCUCGGCUGCGUGCGCGUCGCAGAGGCUCAGCGCCGCCGACGCCACGGUGUGCGUGGCGGUCGAACAGGCUGUCGACGCCGAGGCGGGAGCAGAGCGCGCACGGCGGCGCGAGGUCGAAGAAGGAGGCGAACCUGGAGAUGAGGUGGAGAAGAUGCCGUUGGCGAGGAGCAGCGCGUACGCGAGCACCUGCGCGAUGCGGUUGCUCUUCUUGGACAGCGCUGCCGUGUGGUUGGCGCCGGCCAUGGGCACCUGCGACACCAUCUUCCCGCAGCCCGGCGGCCCCUUGGCAGCCGGCGGAACGCAAUCCAAGCGCGAUUAUUUAGUGGCAAGCAACCACUGCAAGAAGUCCGCUUCCGGAUAAAAAAAGAAAUAAAAAAAAAGAGGGUGAGCCCCCAGUUCAACGACGGCGCCUCUACCCGCUCCACCUGGCCUUCGAGGCCUGCGCCCGCCGCUCCCAAACGGCAGGGCCCGCUCCCGCGCGCCAGUCGGGGCUUGCGCCCGCCGCUCCCCCGCGGCCGUCGCUCACAAGCGCCCGUCGGGGAGAGAGAGAGGGAGGAAUGGAUUCCUCUGUUGGUUGGAGUUGGGGAAACGGCCCUUGGCUAGGGGUACAUUUGUCCAUUCACAAAAAAACUGACACGUCUCCAAUAGCUUUUCACGAUAGUGUCUAACCGAACUGAGAGCAGUGUCGUUUUUCUUAUGAAAGUUAAAAGGCAGUGUUAAGGAAAAAAUUUUGAGCGUCAACA
RNAcentral lists this long non-coding RNA (1705 nucleotides) under Setaria viridis. RNAcentral's name for it is "long non-coding RNA (SVIR_LNC001090)". The record is from RNAcentral. Lineage: Eukaryota; Viridiplantae; Streptophyta; Magnoliopsida; Poales; Poaceae.